CAGCGCCACAAGUGGGGAUCGCUUUUAUUGGGCCUAAAGCGUCCGUAGCCGGUCUAUCGAAUCUCUUGUGAAAUCGUCCAGCUCAACUGGACGGCGUGCAGGAGACACUCCUAGACUAGGGACCGGGAGGGGUCAGAGGUAUUCUGGGGGGAGCGGUAAAAUGCUAUAAUCCCCGGGAGGACCACCGGUGGCGAAGGCGUCUGACCAGAACGGAUCCGACGGUGAGGGACGAAAGCCAGGGGAGCAAUCCGGAUUAGAUACCCGAGUAGUCCUGGCCGUAAACGCUGCGAGCUAGGUGUUGCGCAUUCUCCGUGAAUGCGCAGUGUCGAAGUGAAGAUGUUAAGCUCGCCGCCUGGGAAGUACGGUCGCAAGCUG
This 375-nucleotide ribosomal RNA is filed under the name uncultured organism. Its description in RNAcentral is "partial 16S ribosomal RNA". It matches the Rfam family "Archaeal small subunit ribosomal RNA", at positions 477 to 851 of the family's 1478-position model. The record is from RNAcentral.